AGAAUCAACGCUGGCGGCGUGCCUAACACAUGCAAGUCGAACGAGAAAGUGGAGCAAUCCAUGAGUAAAGUGGCGCACGGGUGAGUAACACGUGACUAACCUACCCUUGAGUGGGGGAUAACCUAGGGAAACCUGGGCUAAUACCGCAUAAUACCUUCGGGUCAAAGGAGCAAUUCGCUUAAGGAGGGGGUCGCGGCCGAUUAGUUAGUUGGCGGGGUAAUGGCCCACCAAGACUGUGAUCGGUAUCC
RNAcentral lists this ribosomal RNA (248 nucleotides) under uncultured bacterium. Its description in RNAcentral is "partial small subunit ribosomal RNA". It matches the Rfam family "Bacterial small subunit ribosomal RNA", at positions 26 to 288 of the family's 1533-position model. The record is from RNAcentral.